Long non-coding RNA from Drosophila gunungcola (fruit fly), 1517 nucleotides. RefSeq lists it as uncharacterized. The transcript has 3 exons. The record is from RefSeq and is a predicted model, not a curated record. NCBI's taxonomy places the organism in Eukaryota, Metazoa, Arthropoda, Insecta, Diptera, Drosophilidae.
GCUAAAUCCGGGGUAUGCUAGUGUAGCACUACAUAAUAUAGUAUGUGUGUGUGUGUGUGUGUGUGUGUGUGCGGGGCAUGGCAACAGCAGACUGCUGUUUUCGAGUGGCUCUUUCUAGUGCGUUUGCAUUGAUAAGCGAUUGUUGUUAUUUUGACACCCCACCCAACUGAUAUUUGCCACUUUCGCGCUGUUAAUUUAAUUAUUUUGUUUAUGAUUUUAUGCGAUACGAAUACGUAUACGAGCGGAGCGAAAAUAGAAACCAGUUCAUGGACAGCUGAGGCAACAGCAGUUGUCUCUCCCAGCAGCUGGGUAAAUUCUGGAUGUGUCUAUAGCUGCAAUUGGAGAGUCCACCAUUGGGCCUGGGCCUCCACCACCGUCUCCAUCUCCACACGCGUCCUCCAACGCCUGCUGACCACAUGUCUUUUAUAAAUCGGUGACGGAAAAUUAGUAUGCCAAUCCGGCCCCCUCUCACCAUCCAGAUGGGUCCCGGUGCCGGCCUCCACAAUUGGCCAUGGCCGCUUUGGAGGCCAGCAUUCAUGUGACUCUGGUGGCGCACCAAGAAUAGAAGCAUUGGUUGUCAUGUGGCCUCUCUUGUGUUUUUGUCACUGGGGAAGGAGAAAUGAAGGUGCUGCUGGUGGGGUGACUUUGCCAUCCCACCCCCUCAUUCCAGUUACCAAGAAGCCCCAGAAUCCUCUGGCCACUCACAGAAAAACUUCACCAUUCGCGGUAAGUUGGGCCUGAUAAUCUUCAUCAUCGACGCUAAUUGCUGGACCCAGACUUGGACUCUAACUGCUUGGCUCCUGUUCUCACCUCUUGCUAAAUUUGUUGGCGCAUUUCGAUGAGUCGGGCUUAUACGGAAUUUACGUCAAUAGACGAUCGAUCCGCUGAAUAUAUGCAUAAUCAAUAUGCGAUCUGCUUGGGCAUCGAUGUGGAGCAGUCGGGUGGGUUAUCAGCGGACGAGCCUCUGAGCUCGACUAAAUAUAGAUCAGACCCGGAUCUUACUGUUGACCAGGAAAAUUUUCCAAGGGAAAUCAUCACCCACAAUUAUGGAUUUCAGAAGGGGCCUUUGUUUUAAGUGGCUUAACUUCUUAGCCUUUUGUUUGUUGGCCUUUUGAAUUCUUGGCUCUUUGGUUUCUUAUCACUUUGCACCCCAGAGUGUACAUCACACCACACACGCUUCCAGUUUUGCAAUCAGGCCUUGGCAACCCACCCCGCCCAAAAACCAAAAAAAAAAAAAAAAGAAAAAAAAACACAAUUCUUUUAUAAAGUUUUUUGGCUUCUUGUGGGAUUUUAUUUGCUUGUUUUUCAUCGCCCCGAUCUGUUGAUAAGUUAGGUUAAACGGCAUUAUGGAUUUAUACGCUUGUUUACGCCAAUUGCGGACGGGCCUCCGCCCCGGCGACCACUGAUAAGCUGCGUCCAGGCCACGCCCCAAUCCCGAUUCGCAUUCCGAUUCCCAUUCCCAUUCCCAUUCCCAGUCCCAAAUAACAAACCAGCCAAAUUUCGCUAUAAAAAUCUCA